GUCUCCGUAGGUGAACCUGCGGAGGGAUCAUUACAAGUGACCCCGGUCUAACCACCGGGAUGUUCAUAACCCUUUGUUGUCCGACUCUGUUGCCUCCGGGGCGACCCUGCCUUCGGGCGGGGGCUCCGGGUGGACACUUCAAACUCUUGCGUAACUUUGCAGUCUGAGUAAACUUAAUUAAUAAAUUAAAACUUUUAACAACGGAUCUCUUGGUUCUGGCAUCGAUGAAGAACGCAGCGAAAUGCGAUAAGUAAUGUGAAUUGCAGAAUUCAGUGAAUCAUCGAAUCUUUGAACGCACAUUGCGCCCCCUGGUAUUCCGGGGGGGCAUGCCUGUUCGAGCGUCAUUUCACCACUCAAGCCUCGCUUGGUAUUGGGCAACGCGGUCCGCCGCGUGCCUCAAAUCGACCGGCUGGGUCUUCUGUCCCCUAAGCGUUGUGGAAACUAUUCGCUAAAGGGUGCUCGGGAGGCUACGCCGUAAAACAAACCCAUUUCUAAGGUUGACCUCGGAUCAGGUAGGGAUACCCGCUGAACUUAAGCAU
Molecule: ribosomal RNA, 539 nt
Filed under: Cladosporium colocasiae
Lineage: Eukaryota; Fungi; Ascomycota; Dothideomycetes; Cladosporiales; Cladosporiaceae
Description: eukaryotic LSU rRNA
Rfam family: 5.8S ribosomal RNA (bases 190-344)
Source: RNAcentral